GAAACGUGCAAGAAUCACAAGAAGAUGUGUGCAAGACAGAAUCAAAUCAGUGCUUCCAGCAGAUUUCUGUAUGUUUGUCUCCUGGAGAAUUUCUUUUACAUGUUCCUUGUUGAAAAGUAUAUAUGAGCACUUCAUAGAAAGUGUGCCCAGGAAGUCGUAGAGCCGAUGCUUUUCACCAAGGAUCUUAAGCAGUUCAUCCCGAGAACUAGAAGCUCGAAUAGAGUUGCAGUUUGGAUCAAGGAGAACUGUUAAUAUCCUCCAGACAUUAGCAUCUUUUAACUGAUCAAGAAUCUGAAAGCUCUCUUCCGCCUUCCCAGGGUCAGUAAAACAACGAGACAUAAUGCGGAAGCAAAAUACAACUUUUUUUUGAAUCUCAGUGGCAUCGCCAUCCUGCUGCAUCUGCCUUAAAGAAAGAUACCUCCUCAUCUCUUGCUGCAACCUUUGUUUCUGCUCCAGCAGCUUCUCAAGUGCUCUAACCUCAACUUUGUCAAAACUUGAGAAAACCUUAACCCAGUUUUUAACUUUAUCCUUGACUGAGAAUUCAUUAGGGAACAAGGAUGAGCAUAGAAUGUGCUCCACGAUGUCCGACCUGAAAU
RNAcentral lists this unclassified non-coding RNA (596 nucleotides) under Hevea brasiliensis (rubber tree). Lineage: Eukaryota; Viridiplantae; Streptophyta; Magnoliopsida; Malpighiales; Euphorbiaceae. The record is from RNAcentral.